This 539-nucleotide ribosomal RNA is filed under the name uncultured bacterium. Its description in RNAcentral is "partial 16S ribosomal RNA". It matches the Rfam family "Bacterial small subunit ribosomal RNA", at positions 28 to 523 of the family's 1533-position model. The record is from RNAcentral.
GAUUAACGCUGGCGGCAUGCCUAAGACAUGCAAGUCGAACGAAGUGACCCAUUGAAGUUGGAGUGCUUGCACAAAGACAGAUUUGGAUUUCACUUAGUGGCGGAUGGGUGAGUAACACGUGGGUAACCUACCUUUUAGAUUGGGAUAACACAGGGAAACUUGUGAUAAUACCGAAUAGGAAAUAAAAAUGAUUUUUUUAUUUUGAAAGAUGCCUUUAAAGCAUCACUAAAAGAUGGGCCUGCGGCGUAUUAGUUAGUUGGUAGGGUAAUGGCCUACCAAGACAGUGAUGCGUAGCCGAACUGAGAGGUUAAACGGCCACAUUGGGACUGAGACACGGCCCAAACUCCUACGGGAGACAGCAGUUAGGAAUAUUCGUCAAUGGGGGAAACCCUGAACGAGCAAUGCCGCGUGAGUGAUGACGGUCUUUAUGAUUGUAAAACUCUGUUGUAUGGGAAGAACACUAAGUAUAGGAAAUGAUACUUAGCUGACGGUACCAUGCCAGAAAGCCCCGGCUAACUACGUGCCAGCAGCCGCAGUAA